AUUUAUUGUGUGUCACCAAAGUUAAGACUUUGAGAGCAAAAUUCCAACAACAUGGAACAGUAACAGUGGAAAAUAAGUCUCAUGAAUUGACCAGUGAUAAGUUUAGAGGGAAUAGCUAAAAAUGAGCUUUCCGCUAGGAAACAUUCCGUUUAUCAAGGCCACCCAAGGGAGAACCACUCAAUCUCGGUGUCAUCGAAAAUUUUGCAAGAUCGCAUGCUACGUUCUCUAUCAAAUCCAAAACCAUAAACCCAUCGAAUGAUUGUUAGCACCAUGAGGUAUGAAUGGGCUGCUGUAGGGAAGAACUCUCACAGUCUCACUGCUGUAGCCACGGCCAAUGCGUCGGCAGAGGAGGCGAAUCCGUUCCCUCCAAAACAAAAAUGGGGCACAAAAUAUUCGGGUUUAGGCUCGCUAGCUUGCUCUCUCUCUCUCUUUCUCUUGAAUGCGAUCCAAGAUGAAUGGCUGCAAAAUCCUCGCCUCCGCCUCCUUUGUCUGAUUUCCCACAUUCUCUUUCUACAAUCCCUGUCCCCAGUUUCUCUUCUUUAACCAAUUUUCUUUCACCCUGCCACCCAUCUCUCCUUCUCGAAUCAUGCCAAAGCACCAAACCAUGAAGGAGUUCAAGCAAAUCGACACCCACUUUAUCGUGUUUGGCCUCUGCAAUGACCCUUUCUCCUUGAGCCGAUUGAUCAAGUGCUUGGCGUCGCCAAAUUGUGGCUGGCUUAUGCGCUUUUGGGUGCUGGUACUCCAGCUGGCCACAUAUGUUCACGUAUGACACAUUGAUCAAGGCUUUCUCCAUGAGCCCAGAUCCACGCCGGUAUGUCGUCUUCCUCUACCACUUGUUGGUCGCAGGUAUGAUUCAGUAUCGUUGUAUAUUCCCUCCAUCGGCAAACGCUUGCAGCCACACACUCCCAAUUGGUGUUGGGAAGAAGAUCCAUGGUCAGGUGGUGAAGAAUGGGGGUUCAUACGACUAACUCUGUUCACAACUCUUUGUUUUGUAAUUUUGUUUGGGUGUUUUGGAUUGUGCUCGCCAACUGUUCGACGAAAUGUCUAAAGAGAUUUUUUUUUAAUGUAUUUCUGGAAAUAUGUAUUGUUUUCUGUUUUCAUAUUUACUUCCCUUCAGAGCUUUAGAGUUGUUUUUCAUCAUCUAUGCUGAAAUUUUAUCUUCACUAUGCAUUUUGAAUUUGAGAUUACAAACACAUAUCAAAAUGGGACGACGUUGGUGGCUCUUCUGCCUCUGCAACUGAUUAGUUGGGCUGAUGCAUUGGUCAGGUGGUCUAUUUUUGGUUUUGGUUGUUCUGAUUAAAAUCCAUUCAGGUCGUCCUUCUUUUUCCUGAACGUAUAUUCUUAGUUCUGGGCUCAAAUUCAAGUAUUGUAGGAACAUAUCCCAAUAUUCUGUAUGGGCUGCAUUCUAUGCCUUAGGAGCUUCUCUGAUAGAACUUUCUUCUCACGUUACAAUGGUUCUUCUGCUGGCUCCAGUUUAUUUCAAAAUUUGAAAUGGCAUAUUUGAGGAGCAUUGGAAGCUUGAUAACGCAGAGUGCAUCCAGAAAUGGAGUUCCCAGUGAACUAAAUCCAAUGAUCACUUAUGAUGCCUAUGCUUAAUGCAGUAUGCUAUGCAUAGUCUACAAAGCUAUUUCAUUAGAGGCAUAUGGGACCGAUGAUCAUUGAUCAAUCUGUCAGGGAUGCCUUCUCAGGUUCAUGGAAAUGUUACUGAGGGAUUGCGUUGAAUGUCUAACUGUACCUUAAGAUGCAUAGGUCUAGUCAUGCUGAGAAACAGCUGAAGAUCAUACCCAAUUGAAGAUCAUGCAACAAAUAAUUGCUUUAAAUGGUUCUCAACUUGGUGAAUGUGCAGAUGAAGAGUAGAGAAUGUAUUGACAUGUCUAUUGUGGGGUGUUCAGACAUCAGUAAUGAUAAGCACCAGUUUAUUAAUUUAGUUGCAUGUGGUCUUACUGGCCCUGUGCGGCAAUCAAUGUGAAGUUAAUGUGGUGCAAUGUAAGUUCACAUUUCCUUCUCUUUGGUAUAAUCCUUUGUUGGAUGACAACCAUUUUAGCAGCCAGUCUUAGAUAUAAAUUGUUAUUGUA
Long non-coding RNA from Nymphaea colorata (pocket water lily), 2075 nucleotides. RefSeq lists it as uncharacterized. The record is from RefSeq and is a predicted model, not a curated record. Lineage: Eukaryota; Viridiplantae; Streptophyta; Magnoliopsida; Nymphaeales; Nymphaeaceae. The transcript is spliced from 3 exons.